RNAcentral lists this ribosomal RNA (404 nucleotides) under Fusobacteriota bacterium. Its description in RNAcentral is "Fusobacteria bacterium partial 16S ribosomal RNA". It matches the Rfam family "Bacterial small subunit ribosomal RNA", at positions 355 to 776 of the family's 1533-position model. The record is from RNAcentral. Lineage: Bacteria; Fusobacteriati; Fusobacteriota.
UGGGGAAUAUUGCACAAUGGAGGGAACUCUGAUGCAGCGACGCCGCGUGAGUGAUGAAGGAAUUCGUUUCGUAAAACUCUGUUCUAUGGGAAGAAAAGGACUGUACCAUAGGAGAAAGCUCCGGCUAAAUACGUGCCAGCAGCCGCGGUAAUACGUAUGGAGCGAGCGUUGUCCGGAAUUAUUGGGCGUAAAGGGUGCGCAGGCGGCUUUACAAGUUGGAUGUGAAAUAUUGUGGCUCAACCACAAACGUGCAUCCAAAACUGCAAAGCUUGAGUGAAGGAGAGGUAAGUGGAAUUCCUGGUGUAGCGGUGGAAUGCGUAGAUAUCAGGAGGAAUACCGGUGGCGAAGGCGACUUACGGGACUUAAACUGACGCUCAGGCACGAAAGCGUGGGGAGCAAACAGG